Molecule: ribosomal RNA, 253 nt
Filed under: uncultured bacterium
Lineage: Bacteria
Description: partial 16S ribosomal RNA
Rfam family: Bacterial small subunit ribosomal RNA
Source: RNAcentral
UACGUAGGGUCCGAGCGUUGUCCGGAAUUACUGGGCGUAAAGAGCUCGUAGGUGGUUUGUCGCGUUGUUCGUGAAAACUCACAGCUCAACUGUGGGCGUGCGGGCGAUACGGGCAGACUGGAGUACUGCAGGGGAGACUGGAAUUCCUGGUGUAGCGGUGGAAUGCGCAGAUAUCAGGAGGAACACCGGUGGCGAAGGCGGGUCUCUGGGCUGUAACUGACGCUGAGGCGCGAAAGCGUGGGGAGCAAACAGG